Molecule: ribosomal RNA, 1579 nt
Filed under: Myotis frater
Lineage: Eukaryota; Metazoa; Chordata; Mammalia; Chiroptera; Vespertilionidae
Description: 16S ribosomal RNA
Rfam family: Bacterial large subunit ribosomal RNA
Source: RNAcentral
AACCAAAGAUAGCUCAAAAUAUAUCAAAUAAUAUUAUCCUACAAUAUUAAAAUAAAACAUUCACAGAAAUAAAAGUAUAGGUGAUAGAAAUUUUACUUGACGCUAUAGAGAAAGUACCGCAAGGGAAAAAAAUGAAAGAAAGUUUAUAAGUAAAAAAAAGCAAAGUUUAACUCUUGUACCUUUUGCAUAAUGAUUCAACUAGAAGAUAUUAGCAAAAAGAACUUAAGUUAACACCCCGAAACUAGACGAGCUACCCGCUAGCAGCCCAAAGAGCAAACUCAUCUAUGUGGCAAAAUAGUGAGAAGACUGACGGGUAGUGGCAAUAAACCUAUCGAGCCUAGUGAUAGCUGGUUGUCCAGAACGGAAUUUUAGUUCUAACUUAAGCCUACCAUAAAAAAAAACAAAUUUAAAUGUAAGCUUAAAUAAUAAUCUAAAAGGGGACAGCUUUUUAGAUACGGGAUACAACCCCUGUUAGUGAGUAAACAAAAACUAGUGAUACUCUAGUUGGCUUAAAAGCAGCCAUCAAACAAGAUAGCGUUCAAGCUCAAUAGUACACAAAAACUAAUUUCAACUAUUAUCAAUUAUACUCCUAAUAUAAAACUGGACUAUUCUAUUUUUUAAUAGAAGCAAUAAUGUUGAUAUCAGUAACAAGAAACAUUUCUCCCUGCAUACGUGUAUAUCAGAACGAAUAAAUCACUGAUAAUUAACAAAUAUAAACACAACCACUUAAUUAAAAAAAAAUAAUAUAAUUGUUAGCCCAACACAGGUGUGCAACUAAGGAAAGAUUAAAAAAAGUAAAAGGAACUCGGCAAACAUAAACCCCGCCUGUUUACCAAAAACAUCACCUCUAGCAUAAAAAGUAUUAGAGGCACUGCCUGCCCAGUGACUUUAGUUUCAACGGCCGCGGUAUCCUGACCGUGCAAAGGUAGCAUAAUCACUUGUUCUCUAAAUAAGGACUUGUAUGAAUGGCUCCACGAGGGUUUUACUGUCUCUUACUUUUAAUCAGUGAAAUUGACCUUCACGUGAAGAGGCGUGAAUUAAAAAAUAAGACGAGAAGACCCUAUGGAGCUUUAAUUAACCAGCUCACAAAGUACAACCAUAUUCUAAUAGAAAUUAAACCUAUUUUAAUUGAGCUGAUAAUUUAGGUUGGGGUGACCUCGGAAUAAAAAUUAACUCCCGAGAAAAUUUUAACUAAGACAAACAAGUCAAAAUUAUCCCAUUAUAUAUUGAUCCGCUAAGUCUUUAAACGAUCAACGAAACAAGUUACCCUAGGGAUAACAGCGCAAUCCUAUUCAAGAGUCCAUAUCGACAAUUAGGGUUUACGACCUCGAUGUUGGAUCAGGACAUCCCAAUGGUGCAGCCGCUAUUAAUGUGUUCGUUUGUUCAACGAUUAAAGUCCUACGUGAUCUGAGUUCAGACCGGAGUAAUCCAGGUCGGUUUCUAUCUAUUUUAAGCGUCUCUCCCAGUACGAAAGGACAAGAGAGACAGGGCCCACUUAAAAUAAGCGCCCUAUUUUACUUAGAUGAGUUAAUCUCAAUCUUACAAUAUAUAUAUACAUAUUACCCAAGAGCAGGGUUCA